RNAcentral lists this ribosomal RNA (599 nucleotides) under uncultured archaeon. RNAcentral describes it as "bacterial SSU rRNA". It matches the Rfam family "Archaeal small subunit ribosomal RNA", at positions 63 to 647 of the family's 1478-position model. The record is from RNAcentral.
UGGGAUACCUAAAUUUUCCAUGGCAAACUGCUCAGUAACACAUGAUCAACUUACCCUAUGGAGAAAAAUAACCUCGGGAAACUGAGGAUAAUGUUUCAUAGUUGAAUAGGCUUGGAAAAGUUUUUCAAUAAAAAGGAAAAGAAAAAUGGUUCUUUUCUGCCAUAGGAUAGGAUCGUGGUCGAUUAUGGUUGUUGGCGAGGUAAAGGCUCACCAAGCCGAUAAUCGAUAGGGGCCGUGAGAGCGGGAGCCCCGAGAUGGGUACUGAGACAACGACCCAUACCUUACGAGGUGCAGCAGGCGCGAGACCUCCGCAAUACACGAAAGUGUGACGGGGUUACCCAAAGUGUUCAUAUUUGAACUGUGGUAGGUGAGUAAUGUCCCUUACUAGAAAGGAGAGGGCAAGGCUGGUGCCAGCCGCCGCGGUAAAACCAGCUCUUCAAGUGGUCGGGAUGAUUAUUGGGCUUAAAGUGUCCGUAGCCGGUUUAGUAAGUUCCUGGUAAAAUCAGGUAGCUUAACUAUCUGUAUGCUAGGAAUACUGCUAUACUAGAGGGCGGGAGAGGUCUGAGGUACUACAGGGGUAGGGGUGAAAUCUUAUAAUC